GAUUAUCUUUCUGUUUUUCUGCUAUGCUGGUUCCAAACCCAGGCCAAGCCACAUCCACGGACGCAUUCUCUUCACUCUCUGAAAUCACUUCAAUUACUCAUUGGUUCCCUUAGCCUCUGUCUUCCUGCUCCAGACAUCAGUAUCCUGAGAGCAGGCCUCCACCAUGAUGCUCAUCCAACACACUCAGCCACCUGGAAAGCACCUGGUACCCAGUAAGUGAACCACAAGUAUUAAUCUGGAGCCUCCCUGGGGGGAAAACUCCAGAUUCUUCACUGUUCCUCACUCCCGCCUGCUAUCAGAGGCCUGUUCUGAAAUCUGAUCCUGGGUUGCUACUAAGCACUGUGCAUUGUCCCCCAGGGAAAGGGAGAGAAGCUGAAACCGACUCACUUGAUUAUGGAGGCUAAGAAGAGGAGACCCAAGAAAGCCAGUGAUGUAACUCCAGUCCAAGUCUGAAGACCGGAGAACCAGGAGUGCCUAUGGUAUAAGUCCUGAUCCAAGGACAGGAGGAAUAGGAGCACCACAGGCCUUCCCUGGUGGCUCAACUGUACAGAAUCUGAGAAUCCAUCUGCCAACACAGGAUGCGGACAAUUCCAAGGAUACGUGUAAUUAGGAGAACUUAAUUGAUUUCUUCCAUGGAACUACUGGUCUUAGACACAUGAGCAAGAAAAGAUAAUGAAUCUUUCGAUAGACAGAAUCAUUA
Bos taurus (domestic cattle) is the source of this 700-nucleotide long non-coding RNA. The record is from Ensembl. NCBI's taxonomy places the organism in Eukaryota, Metazoa, Chordata, Mammalia, Artiodactyla, Bovidae.